This 1247-nucleotide long non-coding RNA is filed under the name Mus musculus (house mouse). RNAcentral's name for it is "predicted gene, 49291". The record is from RNAcentral. Lineage: Eukaryota; Metazoa; Chordata; Mammalia; Rodentia; Muridae.
GACAGGUUCUGAGCAGUUCGUUUAGAUUUUACACUUAACAUCUAGAAGGAAUGCUCUCCCUGCCUUUGCUGAAGGCAUUUCACAGAACAUCUCAUUAUUUAUUUAUCAGGAUAAGACUCCAGAAAAAGGUUGUGCCACCUGCUGCUAUUCCGACGCUACUGAACUGGACUGCUGGGAUAUCUGUGAAGUGUUUGCUAGUGGAUCCAGCUGCCACUGCUGACCUAUGCCUGAUAGAUGGAAUCUGCUCCAAAGAACUAUUUCUAAACAGGCAGGGCUUAUCAGUGAACCUGCAGAUCACCAGUUGACCAGACAAGCAACCUAAGUAUCCUCCUGUCUACAAAUUCCCAGCAUGAAGAUUAUAGAGACAUACUUCUGUAUCCAGCCUUUUAGAUUAGGUUAAUGGAGGUAAGAAGACCUGCCUGCCCUACAUAUGGGUGGCAGCAUCCUAUGCCCUGGGAUCCUGGACCAAAUAAAGAGGAGAAAGCGAGCCAAGCACCAGCAGCAUCAACAGCCUUCUGAUGAUGUGCAGGAAGUGGCCACCAUCUUACAUUCGGCUGCUGUGACUUCCCACCAUGUAAGAUGAUAGCCUGGAACUGUGAGCCCAGAGAACCCUCCUCCCUUUUGUCAAGUAUUUGGUUCCAGCAUUUUUUUUUUUUUUUGAGUUGAUUGUUUUCUGCCUUUGGGGACGACAGGCGAGAUUUUAGUCAUUUGGCCAUGUAGAAGUGACUGAGAUAGAUCAGCUACCUUCUCAGUCCAUUAAGCUUCUAUAGAAACCAAAAUGGGAAAAGGACAUUUGAUUUUCUUUUCCAUAAUUCUGAACUCAUCAUGCCUAAAACCCAAGGACAAGGACUCGUGGGUCCUUUGGGUGGGAGGCUGGAGGUCAUGCGUGGCAUUUUCUAUUGAGGUAAUGUCUCUAGAGAGGUGAUGGAUCGAAUGCAUCAUUAAACAAUCAAUUAGGUAGUACAAAUGUACCUCUCUCUAAAAUACCCAUUCCAGCCAUGCAGUUUAAAUAUUUCUGGUGUUAUAAAAGGAAUUCUUAUUAUUACUAUGUUUUCUUUGGUAAAGGUUAAAUUUGUGUAGAUGCUGAUAUCUCUGGAGAAAGGAGGAAAACUCAUAGAUCAUCGACAUUGUGCCCUGUAGCUCUAAGAUGUUGUUGGUGGAGUCUUGGUGAUGGACAGACAGCUCUGCCCAUGUCUAGGCUCUCUUAUGACCCUUUUCAAAGUAAAGAACUUUCUAGGGUUAUCUUU